UUCUUUGGGAGCACCCUGGGAAACAGUGUGGCUAUGACUUGGAGCUGCUCACCAGUUCCAGUCAUUCUGUGGUUGAGAGCUGCUCCCUAUGGAUGUUAAUUCUUCUCUAUUUUAGAUUUUCCACAGGUGUGGGCCCCAUUAGCUCUGGCCACCUGAGAAAGCCCUCAGGCAAAGAGUCGCAGGUGAAAGCCAGCAGUUAGAGGUUCACAGAAAUGAGUGCAGAAGCAUCUUCAGUUGGAGAGCCAUUGCCUCUUGCUGUGAAAUAUUUGGGAAUCUUCAGAAACCAUGAAGAAUAACCUGCUAAAGGCCACCAAGUUCUAUUGAACAUCAUGAAUCCUAUGCUCAAGUGAGAUCAGCUCAAGUGAGACCAGAUAUCUGAAGACCUUUUCAUUUUCGCCACCCUCAAAUGAAGGCAUGCAAGAUUGUUCCUGUAGAGACAAUAGAUGCUGUAAUGCAGAAAUUGAGAGACGGUAUCAAUAGAUAUUAUGGGAACUCACUAAAUUCAGACUGUACAGGAAAAGAAUGUUUCAGAAGAGUAAAAGACUAUUUUGGAAUGAAUUAUAGAGUAUUUUUUAAAGAAA
Molecule: long non-coding RNA, 581 nt
Filed under: Homo sapiens (human)
Lineage: Eukaryota; Metazoa; Chordata; Mammalia; Primates; Hominidae
Description: long intergenic non-protein coding RNA 534
Source: RNAcentral